RNAcentral lists this ribosomal RNA (472 nucleotides) under uncultured bacterium. RNAcentral describes it as "bacterial SSU rRNA". It matches the Rfam family "Bacterial small subunit ribosomal RNA", at positions 335 to 799 of the family's 1533-position model. The record is from RNAcentral.
ACUCCUACGGGAGGCAGCAGUAGGGAAUCUUGGUCAAUGGGCGAAAGCCUGAACCAGCGAUGCCGCGUGUGUGAAGAAGGCCUUAGGGUUGUAAAGCACUUUCAGCAGUGAAGAAACCCCGGUGGUUAAUACCUGCCGGAUUUGACGUUAACUGCAGAAGAAGCACCGGCUAACUCCGUGCCAGCAGCCGCGGUAAUACGGAGGGUGCGAACGUUAAUCGGAAUUACUGGGCGUAAAGCGCGCGUAGGCGGUUUGAUAAGUGGGAUGUGAAAGCCCUGGGCUCAACCUAGGAACUGCAUUCCAAACUGUCAGGCUAGAGUAUGGUAGAGGGAGGUAGAAUUUCCUGUGUAGCGGUGAAAUGCGUAGAUAUAGGAAGGAAUACCGGUGGCGAAGGCGGCCUCCUGGACCAAUACUGACGCUGAGGUGCGAAAGCGUGGGGGAGCAAACAGGAUUAGAUACCCUGUAGGCUCUG